This 107-nucleotide small RNA is filed under the name Marmota monax (woodchuck). Lineage: Eukaryota; Metazoa; Chordata; Mammalia; Rodentia; Sciuridae. The record is from RNAcentral.
GCUGGGCAUGGUGACACACGCCUGUAAUCCCAGCAACUUGGGAGGCUGAGGCAGGCAGAUCAUAAAUUCAAGACCAGCCUCAGCAAUGUAGUGAGACCCUGUCUCAA